RNAcentral lists this ribosomal RNA (292 nucleotides) under uncultured bacterium. Its description in RNAcentral is "partial 16S ribosomal RNA". The record is from RNAcentral.
GGACUACUGGGGUAUCUAAUCCCGUUCGCUACCCUGGCUUUCGUGUGUGAGCGUCAGAUUUGGACCAGUGCACUGCCUUCGCCUUUGGUGUUCCCCACGAUAUCAACGGAUUUCACCCCUACACCGUGAGUUCCAUGCACCUCUUCCAACCUCUAGCUAUACCGUUUCGCUCGCGGACCGUAGGUUGAGCCCACGGAUUUUACGAACGACUAAUAUAGCCGCCUUGACACCCUUUACGCCCAGUGAUUCCGGAUAAUGCUUGGGGCCUCUGUAUUACCGCGGCUGCUGGCAC